This is an RNA transcript of Athalia rosae (coleseed sawfly), 1865 nucleotides long. It is a transcript of the gene named microfibrillar-associated protein 1, with no coding region annotated. The record is from RefSeq and is a predicted model, not a curated record. The transcript is spliced from 6 exons. Lineage: Eukaryota; Metazoa; Arthropoda; Insecta; Hymenoptera; Athaliidae.
CGGAGUUUUUUGAAUAUACGUUGGAAAAAACUAUCGCAGAAUGAUGAUGGACUAUUUCGUGACUAAUAAUUCGCUAGCCCCAGCUCCAAUGGGUAUCCAAAGUACUGCGGGCGCUGUUCCUGUCAAAAAUGACAAGGGCGAAUUAUCUAUGAAAAAGGUUAAAGUACAUCGCUAUGUCUCUGGUAAACGUCCCGAUUAUGCGCCGAUGGCAAGUUCUGACGAGGAAUCAGAGGAUGAAGAUUUUAUAGAUAGACGCGUUCAUAAACCUCAUGAAGAUGCUGAUGCAGUUACAGACAUCCCUGCACCUUUGCACAGUGCUAAAUUGAGAGACGAAGAUGACCCCAGACUAAGACGUUUGACUAGAGUUGAAAAACAUAAAGAAGUCGAUACAGAAAUACGCGUUGAGAGACACAGGCAUAUUCAUGAGCCAGAAAUACUGGAAACUGAACCAGAGAGAUCAAGAGAACGGAUAAAAUUAGAGAGUUCCGAUUCUUCGGAAGAUGAAGAUUUGUCAGAUACAGAAAUUGAAAGACGUCGAGAUGCUCUAAAACAGAGAGUUCUCUCCAAGAAAGAUACUGACCAAGAACUAUUCCAUGAAGAAGAUGACGAAAAAACCGGUAACACUUCGGAGGAUAGUUCAGAGUAUGAAGAAUACACUGAUUCUGAAGAAGAAACUGGACCUAGGUUAAAACCAGUGUUUGUUAGAAAAAAAGACAGAAUCACAGUUAUGGAAAAAGAAAAAGAAGCAAUGAAGCAGAAACAGGUUGAAACAGAGGCUAAGAAAAUGGCAGAGGAAAGAAAAAGACAGACAUUGAGGAUGGUGGAAGAUGCAAUACGCAAAGAGACUCAACCUGGAAAAAAUAUGGUUGAUCAGGAGGGAAAUAUAAAUGAUGUGUGCACAGAUGAUGAGAAUGAUGAGGUGGAAUACGAGGCUUGGAAGCUACGAGAAUUGAAGAGAAUUAAGCGAGAUAGAGAAGAACGAGAGCAGUUGGAAAAAGAACGCUUGGAGAUAGAACGUCUGCGCAAUAUGACAGAGGAGGAAAGGCGCCAAGAAUUGCGUCUAAAUCCAAAGUUAGUUACAAACAAAGCUGCAAAAGGAAAAUACAAAUUUUUGCAGAAAUAUUAUCAUCGUGGUGCAUUUUACUUGGACAAAGACGACACAAUAUUCAAAAGAGAUUUCUCUGGAGCAACUUUGGAAGAUCACUUUGACAAAACAAUCUUACCCAAAGUCAUGCAAGUUAAAAACUUUGGGCGCAGUGGUAGAACUAAGUAUACUCAUCUGGUUGACCAAGAUACAACACAAUUCGAUUCACCCUGGAUAUCAGAAACUGCACAGAACUUGAAAUUUCACAAUAAUCAAGCCGCUGGAAUGAAGCAGCACUUCGAUAAGCCGUCAUUGAAGAAACGAAGCGAUGAUAAUUAAAUAUGAUGCUACUAGAACAUCUCCUUUGUGGUAGUAUUCACGAUAACAACGGAUGAAAAUGAAUCGUCAGGAACUAUCUGGAACCAUUGCAAAAUCCUGGCAGCUCCUUCAAUGCCUGUAGUCUAUGGGUGAAAGGUGAAAAACUGACUAAGUUGAAUAUUUGAAAAAGCCUCGAUGCAAUCAGCAACAGUUUUAUCAGAGACAGUUUGUGCACAUAAAAAGGGCUCCAAGCCAGACUGUGCAUCACUGCUCUCCCAUUGCAUCACCUUCUCUUCGAUUAUUUGGAGCGUUUCAUCCGACAAAUAACCGGAGAUUUGCUCAUCGCUCGGUAUCUUCAGAUGAUACAGGAUGUUUGGUGACACCUAGGUAAGCAAAACGAGAUACACAAAUUGUAUAUUCAAUAAUCUAUCAUUUAAGCGUAUAAAAUAAUUUAUCAAGAUCA